AUUGAACGCUGGCGGCAUGCCUUACACAUGCAAGUCGAACGGUAACGGGACUUCGGGUGCCGACGAGUGGCGAACGGGUGAGUAAUACAUCGGAACGUGCCCGAUCGUGGGGGAUAACGAGGCGAAAGCUUUGCUAAUACCGCAUACGAUCUACGGAUGAAAGCAGGGGACCGCAAGGCCUUGCGCGGACGGAGCGGCCGAUGGCAGAUUAGGUAGUUGGUGGGAUAAAAGCUUACCAAGCCGACGAUCUGUAGCUGGUCUGAGAGGAUGAUCAGCCACACUGGGACUGAGACACGGCCCAGACUCCUACGGGAGGCAGCAGUGGGGAAUUUUGGACAAAGGGCGCAAGCCUGAUCCAGCCAUGCCGCGUGCAGGAUGAAGGCCUUCGGGUUGUAAACUGCUUUUGUACGGAACGAAAAGCCUUCUUUUAAUACAGGAGGGUCAUGACGGUACCGUAAGAAUAAGCACCGGCUAACUACGUG
Molecule: ribosomal RNA, 482 nt
Filed under: uncultured bacterium
Lineage: Bacteria
Description: partial 16S ribosomal RNA
Rfam family: Bacterial small subunit ribosomal RNA
Source: RNAcentral